Molecule: unclassified non-coding RNA, 377 nt
Filed under: plant metagenome
Description: partial contains 5.8S ribosomal RNA, internal transcribed spacer 2, and large subunit ribosomal RNA
Rfam family: 5.8S ribosomal RNA (bases 1-105)
Source: RNAcentral
GAAAUGCGAUAAGUAAUGUGAAUUGCAGAAUUCAGUGAAUCAUCGAAUCUUUGAACGCACCUUGCGCUCCUUGGUAUUCCUUGGAGCAUGCCUGUUUGAGUAUCAUGAAAUCUUCAAAGUAAAUCUUUUGUUAACUCAAUUGGUUUCUACUUUGGUAUUGGAGGUCUUUGCAGCUUUACACCUGCUCCUCUUUGUUCAUUAGCUGGAUCUCAGUGUAUGCUUGGUUCCACUCGGCGUGAUAAGUUAUCUAUCGCUGAGGACACUGUAAAAGGUGGCCAAGGUAAAUGCAGAUGAACCGCUUCUAAUAGUCCAUUGACUUGGACAAUACUUUUAUGAUCUGAUCUCAAAUCAGGUAGGACUACCCGCUGAACUUAAGC